Molecule: ribosomal RNA, 373 nt
Filed under: uncultured bacterium
Lineage: Bacteria
Description: bacterial SSU rRNA
Rfam family: Bacterial small subunit ribosomal RNA
Source: RNAcentral
GACGAACGCUGGCGGCGUGCUUAACACAUGCAAGUCGAACAAUGAAGCCUUUCGGGGUGGAUUAGUGGCGAACGGGUGAGUAACACGUGGGCAAUCUGCCCUUCACUCUGGGACAAGCCCUGGAAACGGGGUCUAAUACCGGAUAACACUCUUCCCUGCAUGGGGAGGGGUUAAAAGCUCCGGCGGUGAAGGAUGAGCCCGCGGCCUAUCAGCUUGUUGGUGGGGUAAUGGCCUACCAAGGCGACGGACGGGUAGCCGGCCUGAGAGGGCGACCGGCCACCACUGGGACUGAGACACGGCCCAGACUCCUACGGGAGGCAGCAGUGGGGAAUAUUGCACAAUGGGCGAAAGCCUGAUGCAGCGACGCCGCGUG